Molecule: long non-coding RNA, 1649 nt
Filed under: Capsella rubella
Lineage: Eukaryota; Viridiplantae; Streptophyta; Magnoliopsida; Brassicales; Brassicaceae
Description: long non-coding RNA (CRUB_LNC001605)
Source: RNAcentral
AAUAUUUAAAUACUAAUUUCUUGAUCGAGAGAAAUCAAAAGUAUAUAUUUCUCACCAGUUCUUCUUCUUCUAAACCCUAAAACCAAAACUAAGUCAAUCUCCUUUGUUCAUUCUAUGAUUCAUCUUCCAUGAAAAAGUUUCUACCUUUAGCUUUCCUCUCGAUCGAUUUGUUGUUGUGACUUGUGAGACACGGUUUCUAUGAUCUAGGGUGAGAUAUGAAGCAGAGCGAUCAAACGGUGCUGAGGCUUGAGAACUUGUGGCGGUCGAGGGUUUUUGGUUCUUCUUCUUCUUAGUCGUCUCUCUCUCUCUUUUGGUUCUUCUUCAUGGUGGUGCUCUUGCCUCUUGCUUCCUCUUUCCCUUUCAAGGUACACUGCUAUGUUUCUUUUGAAUUCAUCGUAGCUGAAAAAGCUUGUACCUUUAUAGCUUUCCUCUCAUCGAUUUGUAGUUGUGACGUGUGUGAUACGGUCCGAUGAUCUAGGGUUAGAUAUGAAGCAGAGCGAUCAAACGUGGCAGUCGAAGCUUUUGGUUCCUCUUGGGAUCUUACUACCUCUCCUUCGUCUUCAUGGUGGUGCUCUUGCUUCCACUUUCUCCUUCAAGGUACACUGCUCUGUUUCUUUGGAUCUCUCUCUCUUCUUGUUCCUCUCUGACUUUGGAAUUUAUAUCUGUCUCGAUAUGGUCUUGUUGAUGUUGAUCUCUUGUGUCUUAGGUUUACUAUAUCAAUCAUCUUAAAAGAUUUGGUAUCCAUCUCCUUUUGGAACUACAAGAUUUGGUAUACUGCUUAACUGGUUUGAUUUGCGUUGUUUUAUUAAACUUAUUACUGAAUCUCAUGUUGGAUUGUGGUUGCUUCCCGACCACAUUGAAUCACUUGUCUGCAACAACUUACAGAACUCAAUCUCAUAGUCGUUAUAGCCUUAUAGGUGUCUAUGCCAUAUACGAUUGAUGCAAGCUUGUCUACUUUUUAAUUCAUCCAUCAUGAUUCACCAUAUUGUUAUUAAUCAUCUCUUUUGUUUUGUAAUGAGUGUUCAUGAUUCUCUGUUUCCUUUGUAUCUCCCUUUUUUAUAUGAUUUUGUGUAAUCCGUAUGCAGUGUUAGAAUUCCUUUUUUGCUAAUAACUACUACAAAUCCAUUGAUAUGCAGACAAGGUUUCUGACCCUUGAUAUGACUUAUGUUUGUUCUUGGUUUGAUAUUAUGUUAUACUUCUCUGUUGUUGUUUUUCUCUUGGUUUUUGAUUUUGGUUCUACUGUCUUUGCAGGUCAUUGUGAUGUUCUCUAUUAUUAUGAAGAUUUGAUCAAGAGGACUUCCUCACAGUUAUCAAAAAGAAGAAGGAUCAUGUAGCAUCAGACCAUAACUACAUUUAUAACUGAGGUAUAUGCUGCUUUACUCAUUCGAUUUGUGAGUUUCAUUGCAUUGGUUUAUUAGAUUACUAUACCGAGUUUAUGUUGCUUUCUGACCACGUAGAAUUACGUGUCUGCAACAUACAGAAAUGAAUCUCAUAGUCAUGUAUGCAUAUACGUUUGGAAUGAUGCAAUGCAAGCCAUUUUUCUCUACUUUUUAGUUCAUCAAUCAUGUUGACCUUAUGAUUCCUAUCUCUGUCUCCUUUGUAUGUUUAUAUGAUUUUGUGUAUUCAUUGUUAGAUAAUCAAGAUUUUUC